RNAcentral lists this ribosomal RNA (437 nucleotides) under uncultured bacterium. Its description in RNAcentral is "partial 16S ribosomal RNA". It matches the Rfam family "Bacterial small subunit ribosomal RNA", at positions 29 to 507 of the family's 1533-position model. The record is from RNAcentral.
AGCGAACGCUGGCGGCAGGCUUAACACAUGCAAGUCGAGCGGGCAUCCUUGUGGUGUCAGCGGCAGACGGGUGAGUAACGCGUGGGAACGUGCCCUUCGGUUCGGAAUAACUCAGGGAAACUUGAGCUAAUACCGGAUACGUGCGAGAGCAGAAAGGUUUAUCUGCCGAAGGAUCGGCCCGCGUCUGAUUAGCUAGUUGGUGAGGUUACGGCUCACCAAGGCGACGAUCAGUAGCUGGUCUGAGAGGAUGAUCAGCCACACUGGGACUGAUACACGGCCCAGACUCCUACGGGAGGCAGCAGUGGGGAAUAUUGGACAAUGGGGGCAACCCUGAUCCAGCCAUGCCGCGUGAGUGAUGACGGCCUUAGGGUUGUAAAGCUCUUUUCUCCGGGACGAUAAUGACGGUACCGGAGGAAUAAGCCCCGGCUAACUUCGUG